RNAcentral lists this long non-coding RNA (1053 nucleotides) under Numida meleagris (helmeted guineafowl). RNAcentral's name for it is "lncRNA (ENSNMEG00000018017.1)". The record is from RNAcentral. Lineage: Eukaryota; Metazoa; Chordata; Aves; Galliformes; Numididae.
UGUUGCAGGUGGUGCAGGGACACAGGGACAGGUUUUUUUGGUUUGUUUUUCCUUUUUUCAGUUUCUUUUUUUUUUUUUUUUCUGCUUCUGAAAGCCCCCAGAUGGGCAAGGUACGAGCCAAACCCCACUGGCAGCAGCCAAGAAUGGUUUUCUGGCCACAGCCCCAGCAGCUCUUGGAGCGGCGCCGUGCCCAGCCGGCGUCACACCGCAGCGGAAACCCCAUGCGCAGGCGGGCUGGGGGUGGCUUCAGCUGGGGGAGGUGGCAGGAUCCCUCCUAGCCCCCCCUCAGCAGAGGGUCCCACACUCUCAGUGCUCCCAGCAUGGGCUCAGCCUGCUCCCACCAGGCUGCAGCCACCCAGAUGUCCCCCCCGCCGUCACCGAUCCCCCCAGUGUGCAGCCAUCUGCUGCCGUCAGAGGUCAGGGUGUCCCUGGUUCUGUGAAGUACUUUGUCCCCCAGAGCUCCCCCUUGGUGGAGCAGCCCUCCCCACGAGGGAAGGAGCUCACCCUCCUUGGUGUGUGCCCUGCUCCCACCCCAGCACAGAGCCCGGGAGAUGGGCUGGGGGGGCACCGAGCAUCUGCUCCCUGCAUAGACCUGGCCACCUCCACCAUCAGCACUGGCUCUGGAUGGCUCCUGCCAGGGCCACGAGGAGGGUAAAUCAGGAUGUGCAUGGGAUGGCUGCUCACCCAAAGGUGAUUGCUGGGGCAGGGAGCGAUGGGGCAGGGGGAUGGGCUGCAUGGGGGCUUUUGUCCGCUGUCCGCACGGUGCCGGGUGCACUGCGCCCAGCUCCAUGCCAGCCCCUGCAGAGCUGUGCGGUGUGCGUGCCUGCCAUAAAUAUUGAUGGGGCGGACGUGGUGCAAGUGUGCUGUUAUACACAGUGCUCGGGAUGUGAAUGCUGUACGCACCGGGGGAAGCGGUGCGGGUGCAGCGCUGGGGCUGAAUGCACAGAGGCUGUUCAGGGGAGGUGGAAUUCAGCGUGGGGUGGGAAGGGGCCGGGGGAACAGCCCCAGGGGUCAGAAAGCAGCAAGGCAAAACCUGCUGCCAGACUGCAGUGA